ACGAGUCUUUUUAUUAGCAUAUUCGGACAUGAUUGUUGCAGAGAGAGGGUAGUCACCUCCAAUCCCAAAACCAAGCCAAAAUCUGAAGAAACAGAGUGUGGCUAUGACACCCUUUGCAGAAUGUCCAAAGGAAAGUCCUGAGGCAACGGAACAGACCACCAUAAGCAUAAGGGUCAUUCCAUAGACCUUCUUCCUGCCUAAUUUGUCACCAAGCCAUCCAAAGAAGA
RNAcentral lists this unclassified non-coding RNA (227 nucleotides) under Hevea brasiliensis (rubber tree). The record is from RNAcentral. Lineage: Eukaryota; Viridiplantae; Streptophyta; Magnoliopsida; Malpighiales; Euphorbiaceae.